Molecule: small RNA, 107 nt
Filed under: Marmota monax (woodchuck)
Lineage: Eukaryota; Metazoa; Chordata; Mammalia; Rodentia; Sciuridae
Source: RNAcentral
ACUGGGUGUGGUUGUGCACUCCUGUAAUCCCAGUAACUCAGGAGGCUGAGGCAGGAAUGUCACAAGUUUGAGGCUAGCCUCAGCAACUUAAUGAGACCCUGUCUCAA